This 22-nucleotide microRNA is filed under the name Canis lupus familiaris (dog). Its description in RNAcentral is "Cfa-Mir-430-P7d1_3p (mature (guide))". Lineage: Eukaryota; Metazoa; Chordata; Mammalia; Carnivora; Canidae. The record is from RNAcentral.
AAAGUGCUCCCACUUUGUGUGU